This 815-nucleotide ribosomal RNA is filed under the name uncultured low G+C Gram-positive bacterium. RNAcentral's name for it is "partial 16S ribosomal RNA". It matches the Rfam family "Bacterial small subunit ribosomal RNA", at positions 1103 to 1499 of the family's 1533-position model. The record is from RNAcentral. Lineage: Bacteria; Bacillati; Bacillota.
GCCUGUCCUUCCAUCCCUCGCGCCCGCUGUCCCUCCCCCUGAGCGUGUCCUGCCCCCUCUCCCCCGCGCCCCCUUUUUCUUAUCUCCUCUGUUCUCCCUCCCCCUUUCCCCGCCACCCCCUCGCCUCUCUCCGCCCCUCCACCCCGUGCGCUCCCCUCUCGGUUCUUGCACCUAGCCCCCCCCUCCUCUCAUCUGCACUCCCCACUGCAACAAUCACCUUUCAUACUGACGUGCGUGCUUCGUACACCUCCUUUCACCACCCUUCCCUAUCUAUUUCUCCCGGAUAUUUCCUCCCCCGCCCCGUACUUUAUUCACCCCUGCGCGGCUACUCUUUCUCUCCUCCUCAUACUACCUUGUCCGCCGCGCCCCCCCUCAGCAUGAUUUCCCCCCUCUCUCUUGGCCCGCCUUCCGCCGCCGGCGCGUUACCUCCAAUCCAAUGGUCCCACCCCNCUCCGUUGGGAACUGUUNCCACCACUCCGGCCGCAAGACGUGAGGAGGGAGGGCAUGAUNUAAGNUCAUCANGCCCUUUAUGCGNGGGGNACACACGNGCUACAAUGGGGNUCAAAAGGGGGNUAANCCAGGAGUGNAAGNNUAACCUNNAAAAACGCUUCUCAGUUCGGAUUGGAGUUUGCAACUUGACUCCAUGAAGCUGGAAUNGCUAGUAAUCGUAGAUCAGCAACGNUACGGUGAAUACGUUCCCGGACCUUGCACACACCGCCCGUCAAGCCAUGGAAGCUGGGNGUACCUAAAGUCGGUAACCGCAAGGAGCCGCCUAGGGUAAAACUAGUGACUGGGGCUAAGUCGUAACAAGGUAA